ACCACAGACAGGUAUCCUGUGG
Molecule: non-coding RNA, 22 nt
Filed under: Rattus norvegicus (Norway rat)
Lineage: Eukaryota; Metazoa; Chordata; Mammalia; Rodentia; Muridae
Source: RNAcentral